UCCUGUAAAGAGGGCUAGAAUCAGUUGGAGGCUGGUGCUUGGAGUUGGAGGAGCCUGCGGACAGCUUUCCUUCAGAUUGGUCACAUAAGAAAAAGAAAGAUAGUUCUUGCCCUCAAGGAGCUUGAAUGAGAGAAGAAAAAAACACAAAAACAAUGAUGACCAAAAGCUGAAUAGUGAACAUUAUCCAUCUGAGAACAGGUAUGGCAUGCAGAUGAGACUGAAGAGCAGGAGCAGUCAAAGGAAGUUUUGUUCCCCACUGCUGGGGAUCUUAAAAAAGAUUUCACUAAGAACUAAGUAUAAGGAGCAGAUGAGGAAACUGACAGAGAAGUUCAAUGAUUUGCGCAGAAGUUCAGUGAUUUGCCCAGAUUCAUGUAACUAGCAAGUGUCUGAAGCAGGAUCUGAGCCCAAAUCUUCCUGACAUCAAGGCCAAGGCUAUAUCCACUAUAUCAACUCUAUGAUAUUAUUGUUAUUAUUUAUUAAUCUGUCCCUUCUUCCCCUUAAUAAAAAUGAAAAUCAGGACA
RNAcentral lists this long non-coding RNA (521 nucleotides) under Monodelphis domestica (gray short-tailed opossum). RNAcentral describes it as "lncRNA (ENSMODG00000048232.1)". The record is from RNAcentral. Lineage: Eukaryota; Metazoa; Chordata; Mammalia; Didelphimorphia; Didelphidae.